RNAcentral lists this ribosomal RNA (301 nucleotides) under uncultured bacterium. Its description in RNAcentral is "partial 16S ribosomal RNA". It matches the Rfam family "Bacterial small subunit ribosomal RNA", at positions 509 to 809 of the family's 1533-position model. The record is from RNAcentral.
CAGCCGCCGCGGUAAUACGUAGGUGGCAAGCGUUGUCCGGAAUUAUUGGGCGUAAAGGGCUCGCAGGCGGUUUCUUAAGUCUGAUGUGAAAGCCCCCGGCUCAACCGGGGAGGGUCAUUGGAAACUGGGAAACUUGAGUGCAGAAGAGGAGAGUGGAAUUCCACGUGUAGCGGUGAAAUGCGUAGAGAUGUGGAGGAACACCAGUGGCGAAGGCGACUCUCUGGUUUGUAACUGACGCUGAGGAGCGAAAGCGUGGGGAGCGAACAGGAUUAGAUACCCCAGUAGUCCCUGUCUCUUAUAA